AGUGAACGCUAGCGGUAGGCCUAACACAUGCAAGUCGAACGGCAGCACAGUAAGAGCUUGCUCUUACGGGUGGCGAGUGGCGGACGGGUGAGGAAUACAUCGGAAUCUACUUUUUCGUGGGGGAUAACGUAGGGAAACUUACGCUAAUACCGCAUACGACCUACGGGUGAAAGCAGGGGAUCUUCGGACCUUGCGCGAUUGAAUGAGCCGAUGUCGGAUUAGCUAGUUGGCGGGGUAAAGGCCCACCAAGGCGACGAUCCGUAGCUGGUCUGAGAGGAUGAUAAGCCACACUGGAACUGAGACACGGUCCAGACUCCUACGGGAGGCAGCAGUGGGGAAUAUUGGACAAUGGGCGCAAGCCUGAUCCAGCCAUACCGCGUGGGUGAAGAAGGCCUUCGGGUUGUAAAGCCCUUUUGUUGGGAAAGAAAAGCAGCAGGUUAAUACCCCGCUGUUCUGACGGUACCCAAAGAAUAAGCACCGGCUAACUUCGUG
RNAcentral lists this ribosomal RNA (492 nucleotides) under uncultured bacterium. RNAcentral describes it as "partial 16S ribosomal RNA". It matches the Rfam family "Bacterial small subunit ribosomal RNA", at positions 29 to 507 of the family's 1533-position model. The record is from RNAcentral.